UAGGGAAUCUUCGGCAAUGGACGAAAGUCUGACCGAGCAACGCCGCGUGAGUGAAGAAGGUUUUCGGAUCGUAAAACUCUGUUGUUAGAGAAGAACAAGGACGUUAGUAACUGAACGUCCCCUGACGGUAUCUAACCAGAAAGCCACGGCUAACUACGUUCCAGCAGCCGCGGUAAUACGUAGGUGGCAAGCGUUGUCCGGAUUUAUUGGGCGUAAAGCGAGCGCAGGCGGUUUCUUAAGUCUGAUGUGAAAGCCCCCGACUCAACCGGGGAGGGUCAUUGGAAACUGGGAGACUUGAGUGCAGAAGAGGAGAGUGGAAUUCCAUGUGUAGCGGUGAAAUGCGUAGAUAUAUGGAGGAACACAAGUGGCGAAGGCGGCUCUCUGGUCUGUAACUGACGCUGAGGCUCGAAAGCGUGGGGAGCAAACAGG
Molecule: ribosomal RNA, 429 nt
Filed under: Gemmatimonadota bacterium
Lineage: Bacteria; Pseudomonadati; Gemmatimonadota
Description: Gemmatimonadetes bacterium partial 16S ribosomal RNA
Rfam family: Bacterial small subunit ribosomal RNA
Source: RNAcentral